AAAUUCUCAGGCGCUUGAGAGAACCCAGGUGAAGGAACUCGGCAAAUUAGCACCGUAACUUCGGGAGAAGGUGCGCCCCGGUAGAUUGUAGUGGCUUGCCCACGAAGGUCGAUGGGGUUGCAGUGAAAAGGUGGCUGCGACUGUUUAACAAAAACACAGCACUCUGCAAACACGAAAGUGGACGUAUAGGGUGUGACUCCUGCCCGGUGCCGGAAGGUUAAUUGAUGGGGUGCAAGCUCUUGAUCGAAGCCCCGGUAAACGGCGGCCGUAACGAUAACGGUCCUAAGGUAGCGAAAUUCCUUGUCGGGUAAGUUCCGACCCGCACGAAUGGAGUAACGAUGGCCACACUGUCUCCACCUGGGACUCAGCGAAAUUGAAAUGGUUGUGAAGAUGCAAUCUACCCGCGGCUAGACGGAAAGACCCCGUGCACCUUUACUGUAGCUUUACAUUGGACUUUGACAAGACGCGUGUAGGAUAGGUGGGAGACUAUGAAGUGGGAGCGCUAGUUCUCAUGGAGUCAACCUUGAAAUACCACCCUCGUGUUGUUGAGGUUCUAACCUUGGUCCAUCAUCUGGAUUGGGGACAGUGUAUGGUAGGCAGUUUGACUGGGGCGGUCUCCUCCCAAAGAGUAACGGAGGAGUUCGAAGGUAUCCUAGAUACGGUCGGAAAUCGUAUUGAUAGUGCAAUGGCAUAAGGAUGCUUGACUGCGAGACUGACACGUCGAGCAGGUGCGAAAGCAGGACAUAGUGAUCCGGUGGUUCUGUAUGGAAGGGCCAUCGCUCAACGGAUAAAAGGUACGCCGGGAUAACAGGCUGAUACCGCCCAAGAGUUCAUAUCGACGGCGGUGUUUGGCACCUCGAUGUCGGCUCAUCACAUCCUGGGGCUGUAGCCGGUCCCAAGGGUAUGGCUGUUCGCCAUUUAAAGUGGUACGUGAGCUGGGUUCAAAACGUCGUGAGACAGUUUGGUCCCUAUCUACCGUGGGCGCUGGAAGUUUGAGGGGGGCUGCUUCUAGUACGAGAGGACCGAAGUGGACGCACCUCUGGUGUACCGGUUGUCACGCCAGUGGCAUAGCCGGGUAGCUAUGUGCGGAAAAGAUAAUCGCUGAAAGCAUCUAAGCGAGAAACUUGCCUCAAGAUAAGACUUCCCUGGAGACUUGAUCUCCCUAAAGGGUCGUUGCAGACUACAACGUUGAUAGGCUGGGUGUGUAAGCGCAGUAAUGCGUUGAGCUAACCAGUACUAAUUGCCCGUGAGGCUUGAUCCU
This 1261-nucleotide ribosomal RNA is filed under the name metagenome. RNAcentral's name for it is "bacterial LSU rRNA". It matches the Rfam family "Bacterial large subunit ribosomal RNA", at positions 1676 to 2925 of the family's 2925-position model. The record is from RNAcentral.